AAAAAAAUUGCAAUUAACACAAGGGACGUCUCUUGAUUAAGAGAAUCAAGAACCGUGUGUUAGAGGACAGGUGUAAAAAAAAAGUCCAUGUCUUUCGUUUCUUUCUCUUCUCUUCCUCUCUGUCUCUCCCGAUGAUCUCAUCUUUGAUUGAUCGAUCCUUUCUUAUUCACUAGGGAUUGUACGACACCGAAGCAGCGAUUCUUUCUCUGUUUGUACCUUUCCUUCGAUAUAACCGAACGAUUUGUUAAUCGUGGUUUGUGGAACUGAAGAGAGAGAGAGAGAGAAACGUUUGGAGUCUGCGUGAAAGGAGCAGGUGUUGUUGAUAGGAAGAUAACGAUUGGAGUCUGCGUCAUGGAUAGACAACAAGCGUUUGGCGAAUUUGAGAUCAUACAUUUUGGGGACAAAGGCCUUCAGUUCUCAACUCUGCUCCUUUAUCAAGAGUGCACAAUGACAUGGAGACACAAAUUCAUCUCAUUGAGCAAGAAGCCUAUAGCUCAAUACUCCGUGCAUUUAAAGCCCAGUCUGAUGCUAUCACUUGGGACAAGAGAGUAAAGGAACUAUAUAAUAGACUACCUACUCCGAAUGAGCUUCAUGUUUUGGGAGAGGAAGGUGUCAGAAUUGAAGUCAUUCUUGUUGAUUUUCAGAAGGAUAAGAAGCUCGCCAUGCUAAAACAGUUGAUCACCACACUUGUCAGUGGCUCAAAUCCUGCUUCGGUGAUCAAGAAAAUAGCUGGAACGGUGUCUGACUUUUACAAGCGUCCUACACUGGAGAGCCCUUCAAAGCUUGCUCUGGAGGAAAAUGCCUUCUUGUUUGAAAACCAUGGUGCUCAGUUGCUUGUCCAAAUUAAGCGUGGGUGCUGUCGAGCUCCGGCAAUUUUGUUCAAAGUUUUAGCUGAUACUGUAGGACUUGAGAGUCGGCUGGUGGUGGGUCUGCCUAAUGAUGGGACUGUAGAUUGCAUGGACUCUAACAAACACAUGUCUGUUAUAAAGAGAGCUAUUCAAGAUCCAAGGAGAGAUGCUUCCUGCUGUUACAGCCAUCACCAUCCUCUUGGCAACUUCUUUCCCUGAUUUCUUCAACUCUCUCGCAGCUUCUGCUGAAACCAUCUCUCUCCCUCUCAUGCAGGUAUACUUUAUUAGACACUAUCCAUUAUAAACCAUCAAUCAUUUCUGAAUCUUUGUAUUUGUUUGGAUUUUUUUUUAAGAACCCUUAACUAAGAGACUAGCAUUGGAGCACAAAAAUGUUGGUGUCUCUUAACUAAGUUCUUAACUAACAUUUAUUAUUAAAAAAAUCAUUAAGAGACCCUAAUGGGGUUGUAGAAUUAAUCAUGCUCUUAGGUCCAAGAUCGUUAGACAUAUAUAUAUAUAUAUCACAAACAACUUCCCUUUUAUCUUCUCCAAGCAAGCACCUUUCUUAACGUCCGAGCAAGAAAAAAAAACCAGAGAGAGAAAAAAAAUGAUUUCGUUUCUUAAAAUGUCCUUUCCAAGCCAAGGGUGAUUGUUGGAGUUGGUGUUAGUGUGGGAGUCGUUGGUACAACCUUUGCUUUCGCCCAAAACUGGUCAUAAAGAGCACAAAAAGCGGCAAAGAGGGAGAAAGCAAAUCGUGAGCAGGCUGAGAAAGUGAACAACAAAACCCUUGCCAGAGAAUGGAACAAAGACUUCAACAGGAGACAGCAAGAGAAUAAGCACGGCCCCUUUGUGGUGCCGGACAGGAAGAAAAAGAGGACCAAACCGGCGAACUGGGGUCAAAAACCCAAACCCAACGAGGAAGCUGAGCCGGUGAAGGAGGAGAAGGCUCCACAAGUGAUUCCGGUGGUGACGAAGGAGAAGGCUCCGUCAGUGGCUGAUACCGUGGUGAUGAAGUCUCCCGCCAAAGAGAACACUCCGCAAGUGAUUCCGGUGGCGACGGAGGAGGAGAAGGCUCCGCCAGUGGCUGAUCCCUUGGAGGAGUCUCCCGCCGAAGAGAACGCUCCGGUGGCGACGAUGGAAGAGAAGGUUUCGGUGGUGAAGAAGGAGGUUUGACGCUCCGGUGGCGACGAUGGAAGAGAAGGUUCCGGUGGUGAAGAAGGAGGAGGCUGAGGAAGAGGCUCCGGUGGCGACGAAAAAGAAGGAGGUGGAAGAAGAGGCUCCGGCGGUGGCGACGAAGGAGGAAGAGGCUCCGGCAGCGACUUCGACUUCGACGGUGACUUAGGCGGUGAUUCCGGCGGCGACAGACACUCCUACGAUGUGAAGAACACACAACGUACGGUCUUUUUUAUUAAAUAAUCAUUAAUAAGUGAACGAGUAGUAAAGUAAAGAUAUGUACGUACAAUAUGCCGCGUCUCAUCAGAGACUGUGUCCGGUGGUUUCAUCAUUUCCCUUUUUAACUUAUUAUCUCUCUUUCUUAAUUUAAGUGUGUUUAUUUGCAUGGUUUAUUUUAAUAUUUGGUUUAAUGUUUGAAUACUUAUGUUUAAACUUCAUAUUUGUGUGAGGAUCUUAUGACUACUUGGUUGCUUCUAAAA
This is an RNA transcript of Brassica napus (rape), 2497 nucleotides long. RefSeq lists it as uncharacterized. The transcript has 7 exons. The record is from RefSeq and is a predicted model, not a curated record. NCBI's taxonomy places the organism in Eukaryota, Viridiplantae, Streptophyta, Magnoliopsida, Brassicales, Brassicaceae.